GUAAGGAUCCUUCGAGAACGCAGGUAGUCCAGGUGGCGGUCAGCUCGGAUCUUAUCGCAGAGGUAGUGCCGCAGUCUGGUCAGCACCUGCAGAUGAAAGGGACGAAAAGCGAAUAUUUGAAGCCAAAAAGCAGGUGUCGGCUUCAUGUCCUAAAGAGUGCCAGUGUUCCUCUGAGGUCCCAGGGUGUGCAGCAGGAGUGAGUCUGGUGCUGGAUAACUGCAGAUGCUGUAAAGUUUGCGCUCGGCAGCUUUUUGAAGAUUGCAGCGCGAUUCGGUCAUGUGACGAAGCAAAGGGACUGGAGUGCAACCGUGGAAGAGGAUUGGACUUAUCUAAAGCUGAGUCGGAUGGAAGAACUUGUGAGUUGAACAGCAGCAUGUACCAGAACGGAGAAACCUUCCAGUCCAGCUGCAAACACCUGUGCACGUGCAUGGAUGGUUCUGCAGGAUCUCACUUUGUCCUUGUGAGACGUUCCCUUCAAACUAGGCUGUGCUGAGCCAAGUCCAUAAAGCUUUGACAAGUUGGUCACAGUUUGCCAGGAGUCCAGUGUUUACCUCAGACCACAGCCUGGUCCUCCUGCGGCGUUGGGACUCUCCACCAGGAUGACCAAUAACAACAUCAGGUGCAAACUAAUGACAGAAACUCAAAUCUGUGAGAUCCAAACCUGCAACAAGAUCACGUCCAAGAAAACCCAAAAGUGUAGCCACACAGGAAAAGUCACCCUACCGAUUCAUCUUUCCUACACUGGCUGCCAUAGCCUGAAGAAGCUCCAGCUCAAGCUCUGUGGGUCCUGCUUGGA
Long non-coding RNA from Nothobranchius furzeri (turquoise killifish), 796 nucleotides. RefSeq lists it as uncharacterized. NCBI's taxonomy places the organism in Eukaryota, Metazoa, Chordata, Actinopteri, Cyprinodontiformes, Nothobranchiidae. The record is from RefSeq and is a predicted model, not a curated record.